UGGGGAAUAUUGCACAAUGGGCGCAAGCCUGAUGCAGCCAUGCCACGUGUAUGAAGAAGGCCUUCGGGUUGUAAAGUACUUUCAGCGAGGAGGAAGGCGUUGUGGUUAAUAACCGCAGCGAUUGACGUUACUCGCAGAAGAAGCACCGGCUAACUCCGUGCCAGCAGCCGCGGUAAUACGGAGGGUGCAAGCGUUAAUCGGAAUUACUGGGCGUAAAGCGCACGCAGGCGGUCUGUCAAGUCGGAUGUGAAAUCCCCGGGCUCAACCUGGGAACUGCAUCCGAAACUGGCAGGCUAGAGUCUUGUAGAGGGGGGUAGAAUUCCAGGUGUAGCGGUGAAAUGCGUAGAGAUCUGGAGGAAUACCGGUGGCGAAGGCGGCCCCCUGGACAAAGACUGACGCUCAGGUACGAAAGCGUGGGGAGCAAACA
This 427-nucleotide ribosomal RNA is filed under the name uncultured bacterium. Its description in RNAcentral is "partial 16S ribosomal RNA". It matches the Rfam family "Bacterial small subunit ribosomal RNA", at positions 355 to 774 of the family's 1533-position model. The record is from RNAcentral.